Molecule: ribosomal RNA, 216 nt
Filed under: uncultured bacterium
Lineage: Bacteria
Description: partial 16S ribosomal RNA
Rfam family: Bacterial small subunit ribosomal RNA
Source: RNAcentral
UGGAUAUCUGCCUUUUGGUUCGGAAUAACCCCGGGAAACUGGGGCUAAUACCGGAUGGUUCCUUCGGGAUAAAGAUUUAUCGCCAAAAGAUGAGUCCGCGUCCGAUUAGCUAGUUGGUGAGGUAAUGGCUCACCAAGGCGACGAUCGGUAGCUGGUCUGAGAGGACGACCAGCCACACUGGGACUGAGACACGGCCCAGACUCCUACGGGAGGCAG